GACGAACGCUGGCGGCGUGCUUAACACAUGCAAGUCGAACGGAAAGGCCCUGCUUUUGUGGGGUGCUCGAGUGGCGAACGGGUGAGUAACACGUGAGUAACCUGCCCUUGACUUUGGGAUAACUUCAGGAAACUGGGGCUAAUACCGGAUAGGAGCUCCUGCUGCAUGGUGGGGGGUGGAAAGUUUCGGCGGUUGGGGAUGGACUCGCGGCUUAUCAGCUUGUUGGUGGGGUAGUGGCUUACCAAGGCUUUGACGGGUAGCCGGCCUGAGAGGGUGACCGGCCACAGUGGGACUGAGAGACGGCCCAGACUCCGACGGGAGGCAGCAGUGGGGAAUAUUGCACAAUGGGCGGAAGCCGGAUGCAGCAACGCCGCGGGCGGGAGGACGGCCUUCGGGUUGUAAACCGCUUUCGCCUGGGACGAAGCGUGAGUGACGGUAAUGGGUAAAGAAGCACCGGCUAACUACGUG
RNAcentral lists this ribosomal RNA (468 nucleotides) under uncultured bacterium. RNAcentral's name for it is "partial 16S ribosomal RNA". It matches the Rfam family "Bacterial small subunit ribosomal RNA", at positions 28 to 507 of the family's 1533-position model. The record is from RNAcentral.